UACGUAGGGGGCUAGCGUUGUCCGGAAUCAUUGGGCGUAAAGCGUGCGUAGGCGGCCCGAUAAGUCUGCUGUGAAAGUCCAGGGCUCAACCCUGGAAUGCCGGUGGAUACUGCUGGGCUAGAGUCCGGAAGAGGCGAGUGGAAUUCCUGGUGUAGCGGUGAAAUGCGCAGAUAUCAGGAGGAACACCGAUGGCGAAGGCAGCUCGCUGGGACGGUACUGACGCUGAGGCGCGAAAGCGUGGGGAGCAAGCAGG
This 253-nucleotide ribosomal RNA is filed under the name uncultured bacterium. RNAcentral's name for it is "partial 16S ribosomal RNA". It matches the Rfam family "Bacterial small subunit ribosomal RNA", at positions 524 to 776 of the family's 1533-position model. The record is from RNAcentral.